GGAAUGUUUUGCUAGGUUUUGAUUUUAGGAGAAUAGGAAUCAUGGAUUCUUGACUUAGACUUGCUUUUUGAGUGGCUUUAAGCACUGUGAAAUGGCAGAAGUUGAAGAUCUUUCUUUUGUUUGUUCAUGGAUCAAGGAGAAAAAUAAGAAAAACGUCUUAAAAAUGCUGUUUCUUAUCCUCUAUAGAUCUACUAGCUAAGAUCACGUUCAUAACAGUUAAACCCCUUUGGUUUCGUUGAAAUUUGCUUAGAAGUCAUUUUUUUGGUUUUUUGGCUUCAACAUAAUGGAAGUUAUCGAGAAGCAAGUUCUGCAGUUGAUCAUCUUGACAGAAAUUUAUCUAGAAUAGAUUUAGGCAAACUCUAAAUAGAAAUAACCACAUGGUUAACCUAUUGGCAUUUUUGGGUGCUCCUCACAUUGUCGAUGCAAGGACUCUAAAUUGAACUGUACAUUUAGUCACUAACAAGGGUUCUUUGCACUUAAAAAGAGCUCAAAAUUUGGAUGACUCCUAAGCCAAGCAAUUUAAGGACGAAGAAGAGUUCACCUACGGUAUCUUAGAAU
RNAcentral lists this unclassified non-coding RNA (558 nucleotides) under Hevea brasiliensis (rubber tree). Lineage: Eukaryota; Viridiplantae; Streptophyta; Magnoliopsida; Malpighiales; Euphorbiaceae. The record is from RNAcentral.